GUAAAGCGGCGGACGGGUGAGUAACGCGUGGGAAUCUGCCUGAUAUGGGGGGACAACAUCUCGAAAGGGAUGCUAAUACCGCAUACGCCCUAAGGGGGAAAGCAGGGGGAUCUUCGGACCUUGUGCUAUCAGAUGAGCCCGCGUCGGAUUAGCUAGUUGGUAGGGUAAAGGCCUACCAAGGCGACGAUCCGUAGCUGGUCUGAGAGGAUGAUCAGCCACACUGGAACUGAGACACGGUCCAG
Molecule: ribosomal RNA, 242 nt
Filed under: uncultured bacterium
Lineage: Bacteria
Description: partial 16S ribosomal RNA
Rfam family: Bacterial small subunit ribosomal RNA
Source: RNAcentral